AACGAACGCUGGCGGCAUGCCUAACACAUGCAAGUCGAACGAGAUCUUCGGGUCUAGUGGCGCACGGGUGCGUAACGCGUGGGAAUCUGCCCUUUGGUUCGGAAUAACAGUUGGAAACGACUGCUAAUACCGGAUGAUGACGAAAGUCCAAAGAUUUAUCGCCAGAGGAUGAGCCCGCGUAGGAUUAGCUAGUUGGUGUGGUAAAGGCGCACCAAGGCGGCGAUCCUUAGCUGGUCUGAGAGGAUGAUCAGCCACACUGGGACUGAGACACGGCCCAGACUCCUACGGGAGGCAGCAGUGGGGAACAUUGGACAAUGGGCGAAAGCCUGAUCCAGCAAUGCCGCGUGAGUGAUGAAGGCCUUAGGGUUGUAAAGCUCUUUUACCCGGGAUGAUAAUGACAGUACCGGGAGAAUAAGCUCCGGCUAACUCCGUGCCAGCCGCCGCAGUAA
This 449-nucleotide ribosomal RNA is filed under the name uncultured bacterium. Its description in RNAcentral is "partial 16S ribosomal RNA". It matches the Rfam family "Bacterial small subunit ribosomal RNA", at positions 29 to 523 of the family's 1533-position model. The record is from RNAcentral.